Oxyura jamaicensis (ruddy duck) is the source of this 667-nucleotide long non-coding RNA. RefSeq lists it as uncharacterized. The record is from RefSeq and is a predicted model, not a curated record. The transcript has 2 exons. Lineage: Eukaryota; Metazoa; Chordata; Aves; Anseriformes; Anatidae.
CAAACAAACCCUCUGCAUAUAAAAGAAUUGCAAAGAUAUUUUUUUUUCAAGCAAUACUGCCUGGCUCUCAUGAAGGAUUUUUUAUUUGUCUUAGCUGAUGGCUGCUUUGACCCAAAAUAACUCAGAUAGUGGGAACAAUCUCUGUGAUUGUCGACUAGUAGAAUUGUAAUUGUUGUUAGGACUCAAAACCUAGUUCUAAUUAUUUGUUCUGAAAUUGGACAUGUAUGUAUAUAUAACUGUAGGGUUUUAUAACCUAGGAUUUGGAGGAGGCAAGUGGAAAAAAGCAGUUAAUUGGGGUAAGUUUAAUAAGAUGAGAAGGAUAUCAGAGGUUUCUGUUUCUUUGUCCAUUUUUAAUUAUAUCCCAACUUAUAACAAGACAAAAUACCUUAGUUUACAUGUGCUGGAUGAAGACUUUUCAGAAUUUGACAGCUGUGUUCUGCAGAUUUUUGUCUUUAAUGCAUGUGAAGUCACACAUCUGCACGAAGGUAGAGGCAGGGCAAGGGGCUUCUGAUAAGAGGUUGAGACAGGCACGAGAAACGAAAAGCAUUAAAUAACAGGGUGGGAGCUAAGAAAAGAAUCUUUCCCUGCUAAGAAGUAGCUUCUUUCAGAGUAUGAAAGUACUAAGUUUAAUACCCUUCUGCUUUAAAUAAACAUGUAUAAUCUAGAA